AGGCGACGAUCCCUAGCUGGUCUGAGAGGAUGACCAGCCACACUGGAACUGAGACACGGUCCAGACUCCUACGGGAGGCAGCAGUGGGGAAUAUUGCACAAUGGGCGCAAGCCUGAUGCAGCCAUGCCGCGUGUAUGAAGAAGGCCUUCGGGUUGUAAAGUACUUUCAGCGGGGAGGAAGGGAGUAAAGUUAAUACCUUUGCUCAUUGACGUUACCCGCAGAAGAAGCACCGGCUAACUCCGUGCCAGCAGCCGCGGUAAUACGGAGGGUGCAAGCGUUAAUCGGAAUUACUGGGCGUAAAGCGCACGCAGGCGGUUUGUUAAGUCAGAUGUGAAAUCCCCGGGCUCAACCUGGGAACUGCAUCUGAUACUGGCAAGCUUGAGUCUCGUAGAGGGGGGUAGAAUUCCAGGUGUAGCGGUGAAAUGCGUAGAGAUCUGGAGGAAUACCGGUGGCGAAGGCGGCCCCCUGACGAAGACUGACGUCAG
This 485-nucleotide ribosomal RNA is filed under the name Escherichia sp. RNAcentral's name for it is "bacterial SSU rRNA". It matches the Rfam family "Bacterial small subunit ribosomal RNA", at positions 271 to 749 of the family's 1533-position model. The record is from RNAcentral. Lineage: Bacteria; Pseudomonadati; Pseudomonadota; Gammaproteobacteria; Enterobacterales; Enterobacteriaceae.